Molecule: long non-coding RNA, 470 nt
Organism: Lepus europaeus (European hare)
Lineage: Eukaryota; Metazoa; Chordata; Mammalia; Lagomorpha; Leporidae
Exons: 3
Source: RefSeq, a predicted model, not a curated record
UUAACCUGCGUUCGAUCGAUCGCAUGCGACUCCCCGAGGAACCGGCCCGGCCUCGGCUACCCGCUCCGCGCCCGCCCGCCCGGGCACCGAAGGUCCCACUCGUUCGGUUCCCUCUCGAAUCCCGACCGGGUUCCUAAGCCAGAUGGGCUCGGCAGCAGUCCGUUUGUAAGCAGUGUCGGAGCUGCGAGCUGCGGUGGGAGCUGAAAUGUUCCCUUGGCCUGCAGACCAGCAGAGAGGCCUUUUCCACCACUUUGAGACCCGACAGGCUCUCUGCUGUGACCUGGGAAAGCAGUAGAAGAUGGCCCAAGUCCUUGGGCCCCUGCACCCGCGUGGGAGACCUGGAAGAAGCUCCUGGCUCCCAGCUUUGGAUCGGCACAGCUCCGGCUAUGCGCCCAACUGGGGAGUGAACCAGUGGAUGGAAGAUCUCUGUCUCUCUGCCCCUCCUUUCCCUAUGUAACUCUGACUUUCAA